UCUGUCACACACAUCUUUCACACCUCUCAGUCCUUCUCAAGAGGAAGUAUAGAUGGGUAGAGAGGAGAGGUGGGUGGGGGGAUGGACAGGCUACAAGUCACUAGAGUUUAGAUACAGUUAGUGAUCGACACGUUGAGAUGGAAUGCACCUGUCUUCUACUCUUGCUGUUGAGUACACUGGUAUACUGUAGCCUCGGACAAGGUGGAGUUCUCUUUAAUCCAGCCUCUCUGAGUGUCAGUCCUGACAGAUCUCAGUUCUUUAAAUUAGAGUCUGUCUCUCUGAGCUGUGAGGUUCAGGGGAACUCUGCUGGAUGGAGAGUGGUGAGG
Molecule: non-coding RNA, 326 nt
Organism: Salmo salar (Atlantic salmon)
Lineage: Eukaryota; Metazoa; Chordata; Actinopteri; Salmoniformes; Salmonidae
Source: RefSeq, a predicted model, not a curated record